AGAGUUUGAUCCUGGCUCAGAGCGAACGCUGGCGGCGUGCUUAACACAUGCAAGUCGUACGGCUGUAGCAAUACAGCCGUGGCGAACGGGUGCGUAACACGUGGAUAACCUUCCUUCAGGUGGGGAAUAACCCAGUGAAAAUUGGGCUAAUACCGCAUAACAUUUCGGGGGCACAUGCUCCUGUCUUCAAAGCCGCAAGG
Molecule: ribosomal RNA, 200 nt
Filed under: uncultured bacterium
Lineage: Bacteria
Description: partial 16S ribosomal RNA
Rfam family: Bacterial small subunit ribosomal RNA
Source: RNAcentral